AUUUGUUAUCUUGUCUGUAAUGCCAUUUCUGUAUUUUCUGUAUCCCAUUCUGCUUUCUUGUAUUUAUAUAUUUGCUUUUCAGGUGCUUGUUGGAGUUGGAGAGAGAAGGAGGCAAGGACAGGAAGGUGGUCACUUCCCACGUCUUGGCUGACGGAGAAGCUAAGAAGUUUAGCAGCCAAGUCCGGGGAGCAGAGGACAAGAUCAAGGAUGUCUGCCGUGGAGGUUGAAGAAUGGAUGUGUGUGGGCUCGUUGGUGUUGAGGAUGGCCAGUAGCUCACUCUCUCUGAAGCAGAGAUUCCCCCUGAACAGCGGCACUGUGAGCAGAAGUAGAGACUCAGUCUAGUGCAGGAGGACCCAGAGCCCACACAGAUCAAAGAGGAACAGGGGGAACUCAGUCUUGAGACUCAUACUAAAGACUCCAUAUUCACUCCUGCUUAUGAUGAGGACCCAACUCAACCCUCACAUCCCUAUCAAGUCCAAAAGGAAGGAAACAGAGAGAGAGAGACACUCUAUCCAGCACUACAACUGAACAGAUCAAAACAGAACCUGAUGGAGAGGACUACGGAGAAUCAGAACCAACCAGUGUCUUUUAGCCCCUCUCUGCAGUAAAUCCAUAACGUUCUGCAGCUCAGAGUGAAAACGGUGAAAGUGGGAUGGAGACUGGCGGGCCUCCGUCAGGUUAAGUCAGUCAAAUCACAGAGAAUAAAGAUGGUAAAAUUACAAAGCUCCCUUAUCAACACUAAGGAUAACAAAUCCACACAGUUGUCCCUCCUGAAAUCACCCAGUCAAAGUCACGCUAAUCCCUGUUGUAAUUGUGUGGCACAUCUUUUCAUCACAUGGGCUCAUUGAUUAAACAUGUUCAAACUCAUACUAAGUAUAAAGAACAGCUUUGUGGAGUGUGUGGAAAACAUUUUCAGUCCACAGAAAGUAUGAAAGAUUACCUCAACUCACAUUGCACCUAGGUUUUGUUGUUGUGUUUGUAGUGAAUGGUUCACCUUCAACAAUAAGCUGAUAAUGCACAUGAGAAGCCACACAGGGGAGAAAUCUUUUCCCUGCCCUGAUUGUGGUGCAUCCUUCAAUCCAAAUGGUCUGAAAAUACACCUGAAGAAUUACACAAAAAAGAAACCACAUCACUGCCCU
Molecule: long non-coding RNA, 1139 nt
Filed under: Oncorhynchus kisutch (coho salmon)
Lineage: Eukaryota; Metazoa; Chordata; Actinopteri; Salmoniformes; Salmonidae
Description: lncRNA (ENSOKIG00005022269.1)
Source: RNAcentral